This 254-nucleotide ribosomal RNA is filed under the name uncultured bacterium. Its description in RNAcentral is "partial 16S ribosomal RNA". It matches the Rfam family "Bacterial small subunit ribosomal RNA", at positions 524 to 776 of the family's 1533-position model. The record is from RNAcentral.
UACGAACUGUGCAAACGUUAUUCGGAAUCACUGGGCUUAAAGGGUGCGUAGGCGGCUGUCUAAGUAGGGUGUGAAAGCCCCCCGGCUCAACCGGGGAAUUGCGCCCUAAACUGGACGGCUGGAGUGAGGCAGGGGUGUGUGGAACUUCCGGUGGAGCGGUGAAAUGUGUUGAUAUCGGAAGGAACGCCGGUGGCGAAAGCGACACACUGGGUCUCAACUGACGCUGAGGCACGAAAGCCAGGGGAGCAAACGGG